CUGGCGGCGUGCCUAACACAUGCAAGUCAACUUGACUGAAGGAGCAAUCUGACAGUAGAGUGGCGCAAGGGUGCGUAACGCGUUAAGUAACUUGCCCAAGGUAAGAAUAACGUCGAGAAAUCGGCGCUAAUACCUCAUAAUGCAGCGGAUCCGCAUGGAUAUGUUGUUAAAGGUUUACCGCCUUGGGAUAGGCUUGCGUCUGAUUAGCUAGUUGGUGUGGUAACGGCACACCAAGGCUACGAUCAGUAACUGGUCUGAGAGGAUGAUCAGUCACACUGGAACUGAGACACGGUCCAGACUCCUACGGGAGGCAGCAGUGAGGAAUAUUGGGCAAUGCUCGAAAGAGUGACCCAGCAACGCCGCGUGGAGGAUGAAGGUAUUCUAUAUCGUAAACUCCUGUGAGAGCAGACGAAAGACAGAUUAUUAAUCUGGAUGACUGUAUGCUCAGAGGAAGCCCCGGCUAACUACGUG
This 471-nucleotide ribosomal RNA is filed under the name uncultured bacterium. RNAcentral's name for it is "bacterial SSU rRNA". It matches the Rfam family "Bacterial small subunit ribosomal RNA", at positions 36 to 507 of the family's 1533-position model. The record is from RNAcentral.